Molecule: small RNA, 39 nt
Filed under: Tannerella forsythia 92A2
Lineage: Bacteria; Pseudomonadati; Bacteroidota; Bacteroidia; Bacteroidales; Tannerellaceae
Description: abiF RNA
Rfam family: abiF RNA
Source: Rfam by way of RNAcentral
CCUGCCAAGCCUCUCAUUGCGAUGCUCAAAUGGGCAGGU